Molecule: long non-coding RNA, 574 nt
Organism: Xenopus tropicalis (tropical clawed frog)
Lineage: Eukaryota; Metazoa; Chordata; Amphibia; Anura; Pipidae
Exons: 2
Source: RefSeq, a predicted model, not a curated record
UAAUAAUAGGAAUUCUUUUGACCAUUAGGUUCUCUUUGACAUUUCUUCUUCUACUUUGUCACGGGCUGAUAAAAGAGGUACAGGCAUACCAUACAAAAUACAACACAUCUCCAGAAGAGUAGACAAGUCUUAAAUAUAAAAAAAAUCUGCAAGAUAAUCCUUCCUUACAAGACGAUGUCCUCUCCUGACCAUUUAGAUGAGUUUCCGCUAUGCCUGUGAGUAGAGUUCUUUGCUUUCUCACAAAACUGUUGGGAAAUUCAGAAAAAAAACAUCCACAAAGACACAAUGCUUUACUGCCAUUAAAGAAAUAGCAUACCUAAUUAUAGGAAGUCUUUCGUUAUAUAUGGAUCUCCUUGACACUUUUUUCUUCUAAAUUGUCACGGGCUGAUAAAAGAAGUACAGGCACAAGAUACAAAAUGCAACACAUUUCCAAGUCUUAAAUUCCAGAAAAUUGAAAGAUAAUCCUUUCUUACAAGACGCUGUCCUCUCCUGACCAUUUAGAUGAGUUUCCGCUAUGCCUAUGAGUAGAGUUCUUUGCUUUCUCACAAAACUGUUGGGAAAUUGAGAAAAAAAA